RNAcentral lists this long non-coding RNA (36227 nucleotides) under Citrus sinensis (sweet orange). RNAcentral's name for it is "long non-coding RNA (CSIN_LNC001782)". The record is from RNAcentral. Lineage: Eukaryota; Viridiplantae; Streptophyta; Magnoliopsida; Sapindales; Rutaceae.
UUUCGUUAUUUUGAUUUGUUACACCGGCAUAUGCUUAUCCUCCAUCCACCAUCACCACCUCGCCGUUGCCCCCCCCACUCCCUUGGAUCCCCCAUCCUCCACUCUUGCUGCUCCCUCUCUCACCACUAUUGACUCUCCACCUCCGCCUACCAUUCCGGCGCGGGGCCGGCCAUCCCCGUAUUCAUUGACAAAUCUGCCUAUCACUCCGUCGCGGGGCCCGCCAUCCGGGUUUCCAUUGAGAGAACCGCCUAUCACUCCGGCGCUGGGCCCGCCAUCCGGGUUUCCGUUGAGAGAACCGCCUAUCACUCCGGCGCUGGGCCCGCCAUCUGGGUUUCCAUUGAGAGAACCGCCUAUCACUCCGGCGCUGGGCCCGCCAUCCUCGUCUUCAUUGACACCUCCGCCUAUCACUCCGGCGCUGCGCCCGCCAUCCUCGUCUUCAUUGACACCUCCACCUACCACUCCGGCGCUGAGCCCGCCAUCCCUGUCUUCAUUGACACCUCCUCCUACCUCAGGCGCCCCUCCACCGUCCACUCCUUCUGACUCAUCUCCGCCCUCGUCAAAUCCGGUGGCCAGGAGUCCUCCCUCGCCUCCGACGGGUGACGACGGUGGUGGUGGGGUGAGUACUGGGUUAGUGGUGGGGUUAGCGAUUGGUGGGCUGGCGGUAAUUGUGGUGGUGAGCCUGUUGAUUUUGCGUUGCCGCAGGAAGAGGAGGAGGAGGAGAGAUGAUGAGGCGGGUUACUGUACGCUCCCACCUCCUCUUGCCCCAAAAGGUUUUUGCUUCGACUUUUUUAUUUCUUUUCCUUAAAUUUGCAUGUUUAUUUAUUUAUUUAUUUCAAAUUGCUUCUGGUUUCGUUGAUUUUAAUUAUUUUGUGCGUUUCCGUGACCUGUUUUUGCAGUGUUGUUCUUAAUUUAUGAUUAAGAUUUGAUUAAUCCUUGGCAUUGCAUGAAUUUAAAUCGGACUUAGUUUUCUAUUUUUCUUGCAUUUGUUUAAUUCAAUUUUGACCGUAUUGAUUGAUUGAUACAUGUAUCAAUGAAACCAUCUUAUCAUUGAUUUUUACUUGGUUCUCUAACUAUUUUGUACUUUCUAGACAUGGGUGAUAUGCAUAUGCAUGUGUGCUGUCUAAUGUCUAUGGAUUGCAACUUAGUCAAAUUUUCUCUUUUAGAGGUGUUGUGAUAUUUUCAUAUCUAAGAUUAUUACUAGAAUUGGGACAUUUCCGGAAUAAUUUCAGUGGUCCUUGUUUUUGUUGCCAUAUAGUUGGCCAAAGUCUCAUUCUACCAAACCGAAAAACCCCAUUCCAAAAUUCUGUUUAUUGCAAAAUCUAAAAUCUUGAACUACUUAGGGUAACACAUAAGUUUUAAACUUCUAGUAAAUUAUUGUUCUUUGUUUUACCUUUCCGAUUUUGAUGCGUUCCAUUCACAUAUGUAUCUACAGCUUGUGGCCAAGACUCUUGAUUUUCUCUCAGUUGACUAAGUUACAUCUUAUCAUUAGGAGUGCCAAAAAUGGUUCCUGCUAUUGUUUUUUUUUUCUUGAGAUUUUGAGGCACUUGAAAAUUGCUUUUCGAUGUUGAAUUGUUAAUUUUGAUUUCAAUACGCUUUUAAUUCAAGGUGUGAUAGCAUAUUGGCAAUACAUUGUGAUCAAGUAAUAGUCAUUUCUCUAGUUUCUUUGAGUAAUUAAAUUUAAAGAAGGUGUUUACAGCCUAUACAAAUAACUCAUUGACUAACAUCUCCAGAGAUUCCUGCUUCAAUUAAUAACUAUUGAGUAUUAUAAGUAUUUUUUUUAGUGUCCUUUAUGAUUUGUCAGUUGACCCUUACGGCAGCAGACAACAGCACUGGCAGCAAAAUGUCCCACCUUCUGCAGCACAUGUAGUCACACAACCACCAAGGCCGGCUCCUCCACAUCCGGUUGCAUCACGCCCACCACACUCGCCCGUAUACACUCCCUCCCCUCCACCACCACCACCUUUCAUGAGCAGUAGUGGAGGCUCUAGCUCUAAUUAUUCAGGGUCUGAGGCACCAAUCCCACCUCCAUCACUUGGCCUUUCAUUAGGUUUUUUGAAGAGCACUUUUACAUACGAAGAAUUAGCAAGGGCAACAGAUGGCUUCUCAGAUGCUAACCUCCUCGGACAAGGCGGUUUUGGUUAUGUGCACAAAGGAGUCCUACCGAAUGGUAAGGAAGUCGCAAUCAAGCAGCUGAAAGCUGGAAGUGGGCAGGGAGAACGUGUGUUUCAGGCGGAAGUUGAAAUUAUUAGCCGAGUACAUCACAAACAUCUUGUAUCCUUGGUUGGAUACUAUACAGCUGGAUCACAAAGAAUGCUUGUGUGUGAGUUUGUUACAAGCAACACUUUGGAGUUUCACUUGCAUGGUAAGUUUGCAUAUGAAGACCUUAGAUAACUCUUUAUGUGAACUUAUUUGUUGGAAAGUACUUUUAAGCUCUUCUUGUACUUAUUCUAUUGGCCUUCAUUAUGUUGUUAAGGCACUAAAUGCAAUUGAGAUAAUGGUUCACAGAUCCUUUUGUAAUAGAUGUUGUUUAGCUGAUGUUAGAAAUUUAUUAAGGAUCUGACAGAAAGCAUAUUGCAGGGAAGGGUCGACCUACCAUGGAUUGGCCAACAAGACUCAAAAUUGCCUUAGGUUUUGCGAAAGGACUGGCUUACCUCCAUGAAGAUUGUAAGAUCUCUCUCUCUCUCUCUCUCUCUCUAACUUCAUGGAUUGUGAUGUUUAAUUGUACGGUGAUUUACCCUAAUAUCUUGUCUAUUCGUACUUUCAGGUCAUCCUAAAAUUAUUCAUCGUGAUAUUAAAGCAGCUAAUAUACUUUUGGAUUUCAAGUUUGAGGCAAAGGUAUUAAUUGCGUUAGUGAAUUUUUUAACUCAAAUUUUUUGAACUAGUGGAAACACAAGCAGCACCUUAUUUCAAAUUCUAUCUAGCACUAGUGUGAUUUGAAAUUUUCAUAGGUUUCGAUUAUAUUUGUGAUGCUAAUCUUGAAGUUCCUUUCCUUAGGUUGCUGAUUUUGGACUAGCAAAGCUUGCUUCUGAUGUUUAUACUCAUGUUUCCACUCGAGUGAUGGGUACAUUUGGGUAAGACCAACUACUUUGAUAUUCUAUUUUCUCAUUGUCGUAUCACUGAUGAUGAACCAUAUUAUGUUUGAGUUGAACCAGAAUGUGGCUCAAAAAUUUCAUAAGUUAUAUUUUGAUUUCUCAAGAUAUCUCCAAACCUCGUUGUAAAUGCUUGAACUUGAUUGCCCUUAACUCAUUUUUUUCUUUUUCUUUUUCUUCAUUUCAUGACAUUUUACAUUGGAGUUUGAAGUUGGCUUCAUCUGUUCAUAGUGAUCUGUUUAAGGCAGCUGGUUCUGCUCUGACUGUAACCCUUAUUAUUGUUAUUAAUCUUUUCAGUUGAUUCUAAUGAUAAUGAUCAGAUCUAUUUUAUUGGUUUAUUUUUCUAGAUAGGUUUAGAGUUUUGAUGAGUGAACUUUAUAUGCUCACUUAGGACUUUGAAUUAGCUAAUUUUUCAUUUUCUUAUAUGGUUGGCACCUGCAGAUACCUGGCUCCAGAAUAUGCUUCAAGUGGGAAACUCACAGAGAAAUCAGAUGUUUUCUCCUUUGGUGUCAUGCUUUUGGAAUUGAUUAUUGGUUGUCGACCUGUCGACUCAACCCAUACUUUCAUGGAAGACAAUUUGGUGGAUUGAGUGAGUAAUAUUUUUCCUUUUUCCCCUUAUUUUCUUCAAUCACAGGAGUCAGUUAUGGCUAUGAAAUCUUGGAUAUCACAGGGAACUGACUAAAUUUGUUGGCAUUACAGGCAAGGCCUUUGCUUAAUAGAGCUAUAGAAGAUGGAAACUUUGACACUCUGGUUGAUCCAAAACUGCAUAAUGAAUACAACCACAACGAGAUGGCUCGCAUGGUUGCUUGUGCAGCUGCCUGCGUGCGCCAUUCAGCACGUUGCCGACCAAGAAUUAGCCAGGUAAUGAGCUUGAAUUUGGUUGAUCAAUUACCAAAACAUCAUCUUUUUAAUCAGACUUCUAAUUCAUAAUUUAUUAUAGAGCAGAUAGUCCGUACUUUGGAAGGGGAUGCAUCUCUGGCUGACCUUAAUGAAGGAAUCAGACCUGGCCAAAGCAGUGUAUACGGAAGCUUAGACUAUGAUACAAUGCAAUACAAUGAAGACUUAAAAAAAUUCAGGAAGAUGGCACUAAACAGCCAGGAAAUCAGUGCCAGUAGCGGGUACAGUAGACCUACCAGCGAUUACGGUUUACACUCUUCCAGCUCUAGCAGUGAAGGCCAUAACACCCGAGAAAUAGAGAUGGGAAAGGCGAGGAAAAAUAGUCACAGACAAGGUUUCAGCGGAAGCCCCUAACAAUUGACACUAUUUUUCUGUAAAGUUCUAACAUCCCAAAAAUUACCCGUGAAAACACAAGGGUAAAAUUGGAAUGAAACCGCAUAUUUUUUUUUAAUUAAUAAAUCUCAAGAUAUACAAUCAUUAUUCAUACUUCAACUGAAUCUUUAUAUAAAACAUCUGAAAUAAAGUUUCCAAAGAAAAGUCUCUAAUUCAAAAUAAAAAUUUAGCCAAAUUUAAUCUUUAAAGCAAUUCUAAAGAUCCACUAAGAAAAAUUCUAUAUUCAAAAGCCUCAAGCCAUAUCUCUAAUCAAUCUGCAAAAUAUUGGAGACGAAGGGUGAGCCAUUAACUCGGUAAGCAAAUUCAUGCACAAUAUUUAAAAUUUUUUGUCAUUUUACCUUUAAAAAUUUUAUAACAACAUCUUCAUUUAGCAUAAGGGGUGGAUUCAUGUAAAAGCAUUAAAAACAUUAAAACAUAAACAUUGGUAGCUCAUGCCAUGUAGUCAUCAUCAUUCAUCAUUCAUCGUUCAGGAUAUUAUACCCCACAUUGUUCAUAACAUCCUUGUGCACAAGAUCAUCAUCAUACUAGCAAGCUGGCCAUAGUAUUUCGUAACAUCAUAACAUGGGCAUCAUAUACAUUACUACGGAUUUUGAGUCAAAACAUUUUUGAAUCCACCUUACAUCCUUUCAAAAAUAGCAUUUAAAGUCUUCUAAAACAUUUAAGUACCUGGCUUUGAUCAUUUAAUUAUUUUAGAAAAUUCUUUAAGAAAACAUUUUGUUUAAGAAAACUAAUUUCUUAAGAAAAAUUCAUUUUAAAUUUUAUUUUUAUAAAUUCAUUUAAAGGUUAUUUUACAAAAUUCAUUUAAAUAUUUUAGAAAUCAAUUUUGUAAAAUUUUUUUAUCUAAACAUAAUUCUUAUAACAUAAAUUACAUUUAUUAUGAAGCACAUCAUGCGUGAAUCUACUUACCUCAAUCCGCAGCAAUCAACUCAAUACCAUAAGAACAACCAACGAGCUCACCCACAUCCUAUAAUCAUCAUAAAAAUAUCCUUAUCAAUAUCAUCUAUGACCUUAAACAUAAUCCCAAUCAUCCUUAAUUCAUAGGCAUACUAGCUCAAUACUUAUACAUAUUCUAGACAUAAGUAUGAGUAUCUUACAUAUGCUGAUUUUUAAUAACCUAUACAAAUGUCGGAAAACCAUGAAAAUUUACAGAGGCACUGUGAACAUGCAUAGCAUUGCAUACAAUAUUUCACAAAAUCAGCACAAGUCAAAAUCGAGCCAGAAUAUUGACCUUUCACUAAAGUAACAAAACUGCCCAGCAUUGAACAAAACAGACAUUUACCACUUAGGAGAUUCAUAAAAUAUUCUUUAGUACUCGAAAUAAUAUGUUUCUUUUUUUUAAUUACAGAAAACACAUUAAAAAAUAAUAUAAUUAAAAUUCAUAAUUUUUGGACGCCUGAAACUAUUUUAAAAGCAUUUUAUUUCCAAAAACAUCGAACCUGCCAGAAAAUUUCAGAUUUAAAAACAGAACUUCAAAAAUUCAUAUAUUUUAUUUUACAUGCCCAAAAAUCACGAUUCCAGUUUUUAAAGACAGAGGAAAGAUUGAAAUUUCAUUAUAAAAUCCUAAAAUGGCAUGUAAUAUUCAUAAAUUAGCCCAACUGUUACACGUUUCAGCUUCUGCAAUUCUGGAAAACAGUUUCCAGAUCUGCAGCAGCCACAUGUUACGAUUUUUAAUAAUUUAACCAUAAAGAAUAAAACUAUGAAAUUAAACAUGCAAGCAUAGGAGACAAGAUCUGUUGAUAUAAAAAUUGCCAUAAUUUUUAAGGAUGUGUAACCUUACAGAAAAAUUUCUAGAAGUGAGAACCGCUGCUGAAAAUCAGAAUUUUCCAGCACCAGUAACCCAAUUUCGAAAAACCAUAACAAUUUGCAUACUCAGAGGAUUUCAACACAAAACUUAUCAAUGGAAAGCUUAGGAUGUCUAGUUCCAUGAUAUGUAAGCAUGUUCACGUGAUUCUAAAUAAAGAAAACGAUUUCAAGCAAGGACUAGAGACUGUUCAUAUCAUCACAACAUUACAAACAAACAUAUAUUACCCAAACUUCAGGAAGAUGGCAUUAAACAGCCAGGAAUACAGUGCCAGUAGCGAGUACAGUAGACCUACCAGUGAAUAUGGUUUGUAUCCUUCUGGGUCAAGCAGUGAAGGCCAGAACACCCGAGAAAUGGAGAUGGGAAAGACGAAGAAAAACAGUCAAGGUUUCAGCGGAAGCCCCUAACAACUGACACUAUUUUUCUGUAAAGUCCCCGGCACACCCUUCUUUUUCAUUCACACUAUGAAUUGAAUGUCGCAUUGAUUGCAAAAUUGUUGUUUGGCAUAAUUCAUACAAUUUUCUUAUCCUUUUUCCCCCUCUAAUUUUGUAAUUUUUUUCCCCCCCAAUACUUGUAUUUACUAGUGCUUGUUAAAUAUACAAGAAUGUAAGGAAGAGAUUGUCACAAUAUGUUCCAAUGGCUUGACCUCGACCCCUCCCUCUGCCCCUUCCUCGAGCUAUGUUGUUGUAAUAAGAGUAACAGUGGGAAAUAAUGAUAGAACAAUUGAUAAUAUAAUAAAGUUUGUGAAUUUUCUUGAUGCCUUUAUUGAAUAAACUAUGCUGAAUUUAUACACUGCAAGACUUUGCAUCUUAACAACGAAAGCACAACUAAUAACUAAAAAAAAUAGCAACAGUAGCUAAAAAAUAGCAAAUAAAUCAGACUUGUGCACAUUAUUCAGAGUAGUGACCAACUACUUUGACUGACUCAAUAGAAUUAAAAGAAUAAUUAAAAUAGAGUGCUGCAGACUCGUAACAUUCCUUCCCCCUUGAAUAGGUCCUUGUCCUCAAGGACUCUUAAAGUGAGGGAACCUUGCCAUAAAAGAACUUUCUUCCUCCCAGGUAGCUUCUGAAGCUGGGAGACCAUCCCAUUGAAUCAACAUUUCACACUUGUGUCCUGUCCUACGGUGUUUCAGAAUUGCUGAAGGUUGGGGCUGAAGUUCUCCACUUUCAUCUACUAUAGAUGGAAGGCUAGAAAGAGUUCGAUCUUGGGCACCCAGUUGUUUCUUCAAGAGAGAGACAUGAAAAACAGGAUAGAUUUUACUUCCAGGCGGAAGAUCGAGGCGAUAGGCAACUAAUCCAAUUCUCUCCAACACUCGAUAAGGACUAUAAAAGCGGGGCAAGAGUUUGUUUGACGAUCUCAGAGCCAAGGAGGUCUGCCGGUAGGGCUACAGAUGUAAAUACACCCAAUUCCCCACAAAAAAUUCUCUUUCCACUUUUCCACGAUCAUAUACAGCUUUCAUUCUAUCUUGUGCUUGUUGGAGUUGAGUCUUUAGCUCUCGCAUGACCCGAUCUCUAGCUUGCAACGUCUGGUCCACGGCUUCUACUCUAGCUGUGUCAGGAACAUAAGUUAACAAGUUAGGUGCAGCUCACCCAUACACCACUUCAAAGGGAGUCUUUCAAGUGGAAGCGUGAAGACUGGUGUUAUAACAUAAUUCUGCCCAGGAAAUCCAGUGAACCCACUCGUUUGGCUUGGCACUUGUGAAGCAUCGCAAAUACAUUUCAAUAGUUCGGUUCACUGCCUCAGUUUGCCCAUCCAUUUGCGGAUGAUAAGAUGAGCUGAAAUUGAAAUGAGUGCCCUGUAAAUUGAAAAGCUCCUUCCAAAAAGAACUCAAAAAGUUAGAAUCUCGAUCACACACAAUUGAUCUUGGCAUGCCAUGAAGCUUAAACACAUUCUCAAAAAACAGUUGUGCCAACUUAGGAGCAGAAUAAAGAUGAGAUAUUGGAAUAAAAUGGGCAUAUUUAGACAACCGAUCCACCACCACAAAGAGAACUGAUUUUCCUUUAGAUGGGGGUAAUCCAUCAAUGAAAUCCAUCGAGAUAUCAGACCAUACCUCUGUGGGAAUAGGUAAAGGCUGAAGAAGGCCCGAGGGUGAUUGAUGAUCAACCUUGUGAUGUUGACACACAUCACACUGUUUAAUAUAAUUCUUAAGUGUCUCUUUCAUGUGCUUCCAAUAGAAAACUUCUUUGAUUAUGUGGAAGGAUUUGUAAAACCCCUCAUGACUGCCAUCAUGGAUCUCUUGGAUGAUUGUUGGAAUUAAUGGUGAAUUUUCAGGUAAGUAGAUCCGUUCCUUGAAGAAUAAAAUGCCAUCUCGAUUCUCCCAAGGCCCCACUGCCUCACCUUGCUGUAGAUUCUCCUGUAUUUGUUGUAACUCGGGAUGUGACUGAUUUUCCUCUCAAACCAUCUUUAACCAUUGUGGUAAAAGGCAGGAUAUAAAAUUGAUUUCGCCUUGUGCGUCCCUUCUAGAUAAUGCAUCUGCUGCUGCAUUACUCUUUCCCUUCUUGUAUUCGAUGGAAAAAUCAUAUCCCAUCAGUUUGAGUAGCCACUUCUGUUGAGCUUCUGUCAUUAUUCUCUGCUCCCACAAGUAUUUUAGACUCUGUUGAUCAGUUCGAACUAUAAAAUGGCGCCCCAACAAGUACAGUCUCUAUUUCUUUAUUGCUAAAACAAGUGUCAUCAACUCCUUUUCGUAAGUAGAGAGUAAUAGAUUCUUUCAUUUUAAAGCAGUGCUAAAAUAUGCAAUUGGUUUCUGUUCUUGCAUUAAAACAUCAUCUAAACCACUCCUAGAUGCAUCACAUUCAACGAUGAAUAAAAGGGUGAAAUUUGGCAAGGCUAGCAUUGGAGCACGAGUCAUGGAUUGUUUCAACAACUUAAAGGCCAUGUCUGCUUCUGAAUUCCAAAAAAAAGAUUUCUUUUUCAGCAUGGACGUCAAAGGAGCGGCUAUGUUGCCAUAACAUGUAGUAAAUUUUCUGUAGUAACCAGUGAGUCCCAGGAAACCUCUUAAUGCCUUGACAUUAGAUGGUUUUGGCCAGCCUUCCAUUGCUUUAAUUUUGUCAGGGUCAACCUUCACACCAUUACUACAAAUAAUGUGGCCUAAGUAUUUAACUUGGGUUUCCCCGAAUUGGCACUUCUCCCUUUUAACAACUAAAUGAUGAGCUCGCAAGAUCGAGAAAGUAAUUCGAACAUGUUUUUGAUGGUCGGACCAUGAUUUGCUAUAAAUCAAAAUGUCAUAAAAAAAACUAGGAUGAAUUUACGUAAAUGAGCUUUGAAGAUAUCAUUUAUGAGGGACUUAAAUGUAGAAGGUGCAUUAGAGAGCCCAAAGGGCAUUACUGGGAAUUCAAAAUGUCCGUGAUGAGUUCGAAAGGCCGUCUUAUGCACGUCAUUUAGGUUUAUGCGAAUCUGAAAAUAGCCUGACUUGAGGUCGUGCUUUGUAAAGAACUUGGCACCAUGCAAUUCAUCUAAUAGUUCAUCGAUCACCAGAAUUGAAAAUUUAUCUUUCACAGUUUGUCGAUUAAGUGCUCUGUAAUCCACUCAAAACCUCGAACUCCCAUCAUAUUUUCGUACUAAUAAUACUGGUGAAGAAAUAUCGAUAAGGACGAACAUAUAGCGGCCCAGUUCCUGGCUGAAGAGGAAUUUGAUGGUCUUGGGAACGCGAGGGCGGCAGCCCUAUUGGAGUUUCAAAAACAUCAUGAAAUUCAGUAAGUAAGAAUCCCAAAUCAUCAUUUUGUGUUACCUCAUGGGUUGCUGUUGGUUCGUUAUCCACUGAAAUUGAGCAAAGUUGUAAAAUGAUCCCACGACCUUGGUUUUUCCUCAAUGUUUUCGGAAUUGUAUCUCCCUCAAUAGCUUUAAGUUCUAAAGUAGUAGCACUCCGUAAUGUCACCUAAUGCCCAUCUUUAGUAAAUUGCAUUUCCAUUUUGUCAAAGUCUUAAAAGAUUGGUCCAAGGGUGCAUAACCACUGUGCCCCUAACAUCGCAUCACAUCCUUCUAGAGAAAAGAGGUAAAACUUUGCUUUAAUUUGAGUCCCCUGCAACUGCAACUGUACUCCCUUACAAGGAUCAGGACUAGUCAAUUUCUCUAUAUUGGCAACUACCACACUAAGCAGACACCCUGGCUCCGGCUUCAGUCCCGUAAUUUUUACAAAUUUGUGAUGGAAAAAAUUAUGAGUUGAACCAGAAUCAAUUAAAAUAGUCAGAGAGGCUUUACCAAUACUUGACUGAAGUCGCAUUGUUUGUGGAGAUUGGACCCCAGCUAGAGAAUGCAAGGAAAUAGCGGGAGUCUCUUAUGUAUCGUCCUUCUCCUCUUGAUGUUCUUCUGGCUCGUCCCCUUCUUCCGCCUCAAUCAAAAAUAAUUUCUUGCAUUUGUGUCCAAAGGUAUACUUCUCAUCACAGUUAUAACACAAUCCUUGUUCCCGCAGACGUUGGAGUUCUGUUGGGGAGAACCUGUGAAUUGGUAGUGUGAGGUCAGAAGUAGAGUUUCUGGAGAAAUUUAUUGUGCCUAGUUGUGUGUUAGAAUUUUGUCCAAAGGAUGAGACUGGUGUAUUCGUGGAUCUUUGGGUCUUAAAUUCAUAAGUUCGGGCCAACGCAAUCGCUGCACUUAAAUUUAAAGGAUUUUGUACUCGCACAUCAGUUCGUAACCCAUCUUUUAACCCACUGAUAAAACACCCAGCUUCUUGCUUGUCUGUUAAGUGACCUGCUCGGGCUAGUAACCUUGCAAACUGAGUUUGAUACUCUGAUAUCGUUCCUGUCUGUUUAAGCUUGCACAACUCACCGAAUGGAUCUUCAUAUUCAGUAGAGCCAAAUUGCUCUAACAAGCCUGCCUUCAUGCCCUCCCAUGUCACAAGAUGCCCUUAAUUCUUACAACGUUGAAACCAUAACUGUGCAUCAUUUUCCAAGUGAUAUGUGUUAGCCUAAAGGGCUAUACAUAAUGUAAUUUUGAUGAUAACAAACAUAUGUAUUGAGUGAUUUAAUAAAUAUUGUAUUUUACAUUUUCACUAGUUUUUGAAGGAUAAUAUUUAUGCAAGUGAAUCAAGAUUGAAGACAUUCAACGGACAACGGCGACAUCAAGAAUAGUCUAGAGCUCAACGAACAAAUUAGUGCGAUAAGUUCUUGUAAAGCCGGUAUGAUUUAAUUGAUGUUUGAUUUAGCAUUUGAGAAGCUCAAGAAAUUAAUUUAAUUAAAUACUUUUCAUAAACUAAAAGUUUUUUUUUUUAUAAAGACAAGUAUUUUGUGAAUUUAAGUAAUUUGGACUUAAAUGCUAAGAUUUGAAAUCUUUGAUUUUAAUAAGAAUUAAAUUUCGGAGUUGGAUGUUUUUACAAAUAUUUUAAAUGUUUUGGGCCAUACUAUAAUUUGUGAAUAUUUUGGACUAAAGUGAAAGAUUUUGAGAACUUUAAAAAAUAUAGGUAUUAUGUUGAAAAUGACCUUUGUGCGAAACAAUAAAAUCUUUGGGGCCAUAUCAUAAUUUCAAAAAGUUUGGGAAAGACAACUACUUUCGGGAAGUUCUGAAAUUGGACCUAUUUAUAAAGUUUUCUGACGUUUUGGGCCAUAGUAUAAUUAUAGAAAGUUUUAGGCCAAAGUGUAAUUUCAAUGAACAGUGUUACUGUAGCAAAAUUCAAAAAUAACGGUAAUAUCACUGUUCCUGAGCGGCGAGCCGGAUAAAUAAGCGGCUUGGGCGCUGGAAUUUGCCUAUAACGGCUAGUUUUCGGGCUUUCACUAUAAAAACUCAACUCAAACUUCAUUUUAAGAACUAACACAAGCAAAUAUAAGAUCAUAUAACAUAUAUUGAGCUUCCAUUUCGCAAAUAAUCAUUUAUUGAAUCAUUAUUGAGCUAUAAUUUAUUAUCCACUCUUAAAGGGAGUUUCUUUGUUGUGAUUUUUAUUUCUCAUCAAUUUGUGAGUGUACAAGUGUGGGAAACACUUGGGGUGAAGAGAUUGGGGAUAUAAUCUCUUGUUGUAAAGGUUUAUUGACACCUUGGAAGUCAAUUGUAAACAUUUGAAGCCUUAGGAGGCUUGGAUAGUGAAAUUCUCGAGCUCGGUUGGCUUGGAGGCGUGGACGUAGGCGGGGAUAGCCGAACCACGUAAAAAUCCUUGUGUUCGUUUUCUCUUCCCUUACUCUUUUAAUAUUGUGCUUGAAUGAAUUUAUUGUUUUGAUUUUAUUAAGGCAAUAGAUUAAAUUGUUGUGCGAAUUGUAUUGCAUAAAUGUUUAAUAUCCCAAUUUACCCCCCCUCUUGGGUUGCAUAACUUGCAUUUCAUUUGGUAUCAGAGCGAUGUGCUCUUUUGUAGACUUAGCCGUCUAGAGUUAAAGAUUCAUGGCAACCCAUAGUGACUCAACCUUUAGGGAAGGACAAUCCACAAUUAGACCACCGUUCUUUGACGGUAAUGACUACCCAUAUUAGAAAACUAGGAUGAGAAUUUAUUUACAAGCUUUAGAUUAUGAAAUUUGGGAAAUUGUUUGUGAUGGUCCAUUUAUGCCUUUGACUAAAAACGAAGUUGGGGAAGAUAUUCCAAAACCUUCAAGGGAAUAAAAUGAAUUGGAAAAGAGAAAAGCUUAUCUAAACUCCAAAGCUAUGAAUGCCUUGUUUUGUGCACUAGAUAAGAAAGAGUUUCAUAGAGUAUCUAGUUAUGAAAGUGCUAAUGAAAUUUGGCACAAACUUGAAGUUGUUUAUGAAGGCACAAAUCAAGUGAAAGAGUCUAAAAUUAGUAGGUACACUCGACAAUAUGAAUUGUUUCAAAUGGAACAAAAUGAGAGUGUAUAUUCUAUGUACACUAGAUUUACGGACAUAGUGAACACUCUAUGAGCCCUAGGAAAGACCUUUUCAAAUAGUGAGAAAGUUAAGAAAAUCAUUAGGUCACUACCUAAGGAAUGGAGAUAAAAAACGACUGCCAUUGAGGAAGCCUGCUGUACCGUACAUCCGCCUUGGCCGUACAGCAGGUUUGAUAGAGAUGGAUAUGCUGGCUAAGAGGCUUAGAAAACUUUUUAAGAAAUCCGGUGAACGAAGAAAAUUUAGAGACCUCAAGAACCGAAAUGAGAAGAAGGAAGUAAUCAAAUGCUAUGAGUACAAGAAGCCUGGUCAUAUAAGAACAGAAUGCCCUCUUCUCAACAAGCUCAAGAAGAGAGCAAUAGUAGCCACAUGGGAUGAUAGCGAUGAGGAAACAAGUGAUGAUGAAGAGCAUCAAGAAAUGACAAAUCUAGCUCUCAUGGCAAUUGGAGAUGAAUCGGAUGAUGAACUUGAUGAGGUAAAUGAUCUUCUUACUUAUGAUGAAUUACAUGAUGCGUUUAAAGAAUUGUAUGAUGAGUGGAUGAAAAUUGGUAAAAAGAAUGCAUGUCUUAAAAAGAAAAUGGUAAAGCUCACAAAUGAGAAUGAAUCUCUAAGUGCAAAGAUUACAUGCCUAGAAUUAGAGAAUAAAAUAUUGCAUGAUAAAGUUGCAUUAUCGAAUGAGAAACCUAACACUUCACAUGAGCAUCUAGAAUCAUAUGUAGAUGACUUGAAAAAUGAAAAGGAUGCUUUACAAAAAUGCAAUGAUUCAUUAAAUGAAAAGAUUAAAGGACUAGAGUUAGAUAAUAAAAUGUUGCAUGAUAAAAUUGCAUAAUUUAAAUGCAAACAAAGUACUUCAUAUGAGCAUGAGAAAUCACAUGUUGAUGAAUUAAUGAAAGAAAAUGAAGUGCUUAAGAAGAAGAGUAAUGAGCUAAAUCAAAUUGUGUUAAAAUUCACAAAUGGGCAAAAGAUGUUGGAUAACUUGCUUAAUUCACAAAAAAUGUGUGUUUGAUAAAGGAGGUAUUGGUUAUAAGCCAAAUUUGAAACAAAAAUAUUAUAAGAGUUAUUUUGUUAAAACUAUCUCCAUUAAUGAUCAAAUUGUAUGUCAUUAUUGCAAUCAAAAUGGUCACAUAAAGAAUAGAUGUCCAGUUAAAAGAAAUGCUUAUUAUGGAGCAAAAUGUAUUUGGGUUCUAAAAGGAACCAUUGCUAACACUUAAGGACCCAAGAAUAUUUGGGUACCAAAAUACACAACUUGAACAAUUUUUUGUAGGUACCACAAAUAAGGAUGGAGAGUUCCUUGAUGAAGCUUGUGAGGAUAAUCACUUAAUCAUGGUCUGGGCAAAAAUAAUGAGGCAAGAUGGUUUAAUUGUUUUGGUAACAAUUAUUGCCUUAUUGAUUAUAAGUGAUGGUCUUUUAAUCUUAGUAAGUAUUUAAUAAUUCAUUUGGUAUCAUAACAUUAAGUGCAUUAACAUGAUGUGGAUAAGUUUAUCUUGGCUAUUGAUUAUGUUGAGUGAAUCAUGAUGGAUGGAUAAUAGCUUGAACUUACAAAAGCAUGCUCGUACGUUUACAUAAUUAAUUUAUUAUUGUGUGUAAUCAUGAUGCAUGGAUAAAUAUAUAUGAUGGUAGCAUGUCAACUCAUCAUGAUGAAUUUGUUUGAUUUUUAAUGAUUAUGUAAUGCCUAAGCAUGAGGAAUGAAUGAUAUUGCAUUAGAAUUUAUCUCUACGAAAAAACAAUUUGCCGAUAUUUUCACAAAACCCCUUUGCGAAGAACAAUUUUCAAAAAUUCGGCAUGAACUUGGGAUGAUGAAAUUUUCGCAUUAACAUCUCUAUCUAUGUUAUUGAAUCUAUUAAAAUUGUUUGGAAAACAAAGGAGUCGUUGAAAAUCCCAAGUCUGCACAAGCUGUAAUGAAUUGGUCAUAACUCCUUCUAGAGAACUCCAAAUCAAGCUCUGUAAACUUUAUUGGAAAGCUAACUUAAUUAUCUUUCCAACGGUAUAUAGGUUGCAUGUUAAUUCUGGCUCAAUCAAUACAUUUUGUUUUUCUGAAUUUGACCUUUCUGUAUUUUAUUAAGUUUUGAAUGCUUAUAUGCUUCAUGAUUGUAUGCUUGUUGGAUGGAUUAUUUGUUUUAAUUAAUUAUCUUUUGGAUGUUUAAAAUCAUGAAUCAUGCAUUAAAUUGGCUCUUGAGAUGUUUCGGGAUCACAAAAUAAUCACAGAAUUGAUUGAAACAAGCCGGAAAGCAAGUAGAGUGCAGGUGGACAGCAACCAGGCGGCUAGCCGCUUGGAAAACUGUCCCAAACCCGAGAGCAAGCGGCUAGCCGCGUGGUCACGGGUUGGACAAUUUUUUUUUGCUUGUUCUUCUUCAUUCAUGAUUUUUCUGCACAUGUUUCUCUUCUCUCACCAAAACCGUGAACAUCCUUUCCAUUUUCACCUCCAUUUUCUUCCUUUUUCAUCCAUUUUCAUGCCCAAAUCAACCAUUCAAACUAAUACCCAUGCAUUUCAUCUUCAUUAAACACUUCUCCAUCAUGAUUUCUUCACUUAUUUUUCACCAUUUCAUCAUCAUCUCUCACGAGUGAACAGUACCUCACCAUUUCUCUCUCAAAAUUCUUCAUCUUUCACUCAUUUUCUUGUUAAAAUCAAUCAUCCAACUUAUUAUUCAUCCAUUACUCCUUCAAUUUUCACUCUCAAAACUUCAUUUCAUCAACUCUCCACAUAAAACCCAAAAUCAAAAACCUAACUCUACCCGUUUCUCUCUCUACAUUUUCAAGCUUCUUUAGCCCAUUUUUUAUCCAAUCUACAUCAUCUAUUAGCUUCAUUCAUCUCUAGGAUCAAUUUUCUUGGCUCAAACAAAUCCAUUUCACUCAAUUUUUGUAAACUCAAAAUUGGAUCUUUAAGCUUGUUUUUGUUCCAACAAUGGUGGAUGGUAAUAAAUCAUGAGCAAACAAGUUGCCAAGAGAUGUAAGGACAAUUAUGGAGAUAAUAUGGAGUUCAUAUCAACACCAUCCAUUAUCUUAAAUCAUCUCUUGGAUAAAUAUAAUCGGUUUAAAAUAAUCCAUUUCACUCAUUAUUUUACAAAACCGAAUUUGUGCAUUUUGGGUAUUUUAAAUUACCAUGGUUCCUUAUUAUAUUAUGCACCUAUAUUUUCAUAUGCAUAAUUGUUUUAAUUGUGGAUUAUGGAUGAUGGUUGUUUAAUAUCUGGAUAAUUUAUAUUUGGAUGAUAUUUUCUGAAUUCUUAGAAUGAAUACGACUCUUUGGAUUAAUUGCGUGCUUUAUUUUUAUAUGGUUCUUGAUUAAUCAUUGAGAUGUUCUUUUUGGUAUAAACAUAAUGUUUGAUGAUUAUAUAUGUGCCGCUUGAUGAAUUAAUGGAGUUGUUGGUUUGUUAUAAUUGUUUAAGCUUAUAUGGAAGUGUUAUUAAUCACAUUGUGUAUUUAAGGAUUUGUGCAUUUUAAGGGGAGACUCUACUGAAAUUUUUCCUCGCACAAAAUUGGUAAUAUCCUUAUCGAAUUAUUUUUUAUGCUCUUGUUUCAUUUUUUUUCUAAUGAUAUUUUGGUUAAAUAUUUUCGGUCUUAGCAUGAAUUACUAGUAAUUUUGAUGAUGAAGGGGGAGAAGUCAUGUAUUUUGAAUAUGAAGACAUGUAAUACAUAUUUUGUAUUUCAAGUAUUUAUGCAUGAUUUUGAAAUAUUAAGGGGGAGCUUACAAAUUAUCAUAAAUCAAAUAUUUAGUCAUAUUCAGUAGAGCCAAAUUGCUCUAACAAGCCUGCCUUCAUGCCCUCCCAUGUCACAAGAUGCCCUUAAUUCUUACAACGUUGAAACCAUAACUGUGCAUCAUUUUCCAAGUGAUAUGUGUUAGCCUAAAGGGCUAUACAUAAUGUAAUUUUGAUGAUAACAAACAUAUGUAUUGAGUGAUUUAAUAAAUAUUGUAUUUUACAUUUUCACUAGUUUUUGAAGGAUAAUAUUUAUGCAAGUGAAUCAAGAUUGAAGACAUUCAACGGACAACGGCGACAUCAAGAAUAGUCUAGAGCUCAACGAACAAAUUAGUGCGAUAAGUUCUUGUAAAGCCGGUAUGAUUUAAUUGAUGUUUGAUUUAGCAUUUGAGAAGCUCAAGAAAUUAAUUUAAUUAAAUACUUUUCAUAAACUAAAAGUUUUUUUUUUUAUAAAGACAAGUAUUUUGUGAAUUUAAGUAAUUUGGACUUAAAUGCUAAGAUUUGAAAUCUUUGAUUUUAAUAAGAAUUAAAUUUCGGAGUUGGAUGUUUUUACAAAUAUUUUAAAUGUUUUGGGCCAUACUAUAAUUUGUGAAUAUUUUGGACUAAAGUGAAAGAUUUUGAGAACUUUAAAAAAUAUAGGUAUUAUGUUGAAAAUGACCUUUGUGCGAAACAAUAAAAUCUUUGGGGCCAUAUCAUAAUUUCAAAAAGUUUGGGAAAGACAACUAUUCUUGGAAAGUUCUGAAAUUGGACCUAUUUGUAAAGUUUUUUGACGUUUUGGGUCAUAGUAUAAUUAUAGAAAGUUUUAGGCCAAAGUGUAAUUUCAAUGAACAGUGUUACUGUAGCAAAAUUCAAAAAUAACGGUAAUAUCACUGUUCCUGAGCGGCGAGCCGGAUAAAUAAGCGGCUUGGGCGCUGGAAUUUGCCUAUAACGGCUAGUUUUCGGGCUUUCACUAUAAAAACUCAACUCAAACUUCAUUUUAAGAACUAACACAAGCAAAUAUAAGAUCAUAUAACAUAUAUUGAGCUUCCAUUUCGCAAAUAAUCAUUUAUUGAAUCAUUAUUGAGCUAUAAUUUAUUAUCCACUCUUAAAGGGAGUUUCUUUGUUGUGAUUUUUAUUUCUCAUCAAUUUGUGAGUGUACAAGUGUGGGAAACACUUGGGGUGAAGAGAUUGGGGAUAUAAUCUCUUGUUGUAAAGGUUUAUUGACACCUUGGAAGUCAAUUGUAAACAUUUGAAGCCUUAGGAGGCUUGGAUAGUGAAAUCCUCGAGCUCGGUUGGCUUGGAUAGCCGAACCACGUAAAAAUCCUUGUGUUUGUUUUCUCUUCCCUUACUCUUUUAAUAUUGUGCUUGAAUGAAUUUAUUGUUUUGAUUUGAUUAAGGCAAUAGAUUAAAUUGUUGUGUGAAUUGUAUUGCAUAAAUUUUUAAUAUCCCAAUUCACCCCCCGUCUUGGGUUGCAUAACUUGCAUUUCAAUAUGCUGCUAAUCGAACCUGAUCAUUAGGAGCUGUUGCUUGAAAAUCGAAGAAUUGCUCCGCCCUGCAAAUCCAUAGUGUUGGAUCUUCAGAGCCAUCAUAACGUGGAAAAUCCAACUUGGUAAGCUUUGGAGCCAUCCAACCACCUACUUCACCGAAACCACCCAGCUCUUCUUCUGUCUUUUCCAAGAACAAGUAUAAGUUACUGUUUGUGUGGUCCAACAGUUGGGUUUUCUUCUUGGCAGCUGCAACCCUCCAUACUCGCAACUUGUCAGCUCUUCCCAAUUCUAGCUACAAUUCUUCUUCUACAAUCUUCAUCUCUGCCUCCGUCAAAUCAACCUCAAACACAUGUUGCAUAUAUUCAAGAAUCAUGCUUUCGAUUUAUGUUUUUCCCUUCUCUCUAAUCUCUAAUAGAGCUUCCUUUUAUUGGAGUACACAACUUGGUGUGUAAGUUCCAUCUAUUUGACAGAUCUUGAACUUUUCUAUAUCUACAUUUGAAUAGUUAGCAAGUUACUAUCUAUCUUAUAGGAUUUCUUAGUCAAAUCCUCAAAUUCUUUUUUUACAACUCCAAGUCUUUCCUGAGACAACUUCGUCUCAGUUUGCAUCUUGGUUUUUUCUUCCUUGGACUACAGCAAUGUAGUAGCUUUACCGCCCAAAUCCCAAUUUUUCUGUGAAUGGUCUACUUUCGCAAUGUUAUCUAUAGCAAAAAGAACCUUUUUUUUUUCUCUUGCCUUGUAAUGUCAUAUAACGAACUUUUAUCAAGUUGCGAGUUAAAGCAUACAAAAUUGAUCCAAGUGCAUUAUUUAUUUGCAUGUGAAGGAACUCAUUUUCCUUAUUUACUGAUGUACGCCAAUGUGAUCCUGGUUCCGGUCAUAAAAUGAAUAAUAGAAUCGCUUAUAUGAAAUCAAAAACUGUUUAGUGCCAAGGAAAACUAUUAUGCCUGAUUUGUGCAUAAUGAAUGUAAUAAGUUAGAAAUAUUCCUUGGAUAAAACGAGAACUUAAAUGGGGGAAUAAAAUUGUUGCAAUUUAAGCAUCAAACCAACCAAACAAGGCAUAACAAGUGCUCUAAGUCAUCAUUUCAUUCAUUACUACUUUUACAAAAGAAUUAACUGAAAAAUUUUAAUAUUGCCAUGAAAAUUUAAAUGAUAUGCAUAGUAUUUAUAUUUGACAUAUGUAAGUCAUAGAUAAAUCUCUUAUUUAGAUGUCAUAUUAAUGCUAGAAAACAAGGAUGACAGAGAAAGGAAGGAAAUAAUACAUUUAAAAUUGCAUCAAACACAAAUUAGUUCAUAAUUAUGAAUAUAUGAGGGCCGAUGAGAUGUAGAAGCCUUCUUAGUGUCCAUCAUUCAGAUUAACUCAUAACUUAAUAAAUGCCACAACAUUAGGUGUAAUAUCAUGUUAUUUUCAAUCAGUUCCAUAUAAAGUGAAUAACAGAAAUUAGUCAUACUGGAAAGAAAUAAAAAUCAUUUAAAAAAAAAUAUGAACUUACCUUGCCAGAGAUUAGUAAAUCACCUAAGACUUUACUCAACACAAGAAAUGGGGAUUCUCAAAAUAAUUACAAUCAAGCCAUGGAGCUCUUGCCUGUUACUUAGUGUCCUGUUCAUCUUUGCUUUUGUGGCUUCUCUUUCUCAUGCAGAAAUUCAAUUCCAUGAGUAUGCUGUACAUUCUAAUUUAAUUUCUCAUUCUUUAUCAAUCAUAUCAUUCUUGACAGAGGAUUUAUACCUCUAUUUUAAUGAAUACAUAUUGAAGCAAGCCAGUGAAGAAAAAUAUGUUUAUAAAAGAAAAAGCAACAUCGUUUUAGUAUCAAUUGUUGCUUGAAGCCAAGAUCUAGCUCUGGUGAGGAGUGACUUUCACAAUUAAGAAAAUAAAUGUUUUCCUUCUCAAAAUAUUCACAAGUAAGAGAAAAGCAUCCAUACUCCCUAACACUGGGAUAUCGUGCAUAUGUGAAACAAGAUUAAUAAAAAGCUAAUGGUAUGAUAUUACUGCAUAUAAAAACUAGAGUGAGAGUGAGAAAUAGUGAGAGGAAGAGAUAUUUUCCAAUAACCUUCCUUCUAUCUUUGAUGCAUCAUCUACUUCCUUCUCAAGUGAACAUGCUGAUUCAAAUGCCUCAUAAGCCAACUCAGUUGUAACAACAAUUAUCCUUCUCAUUAGUUCAUAGCAAGACUCCACAAAUCGGUACACAUGAUUGCAACAUACUGACCUGCACAUAGUUCUGCCGAAAUUGACAACUGAUAACUCUAUGAAAUGAGAGUUAUUACUGCAAUUCUAGACUUAAAUCAAGACCACUUAGAGAGUAAUGAGGUGUUUUUAUUAUAUUUUGGUUAUAUUUUGCAUAAACAUCCAUUUUAGUUGAGUCUUAAUAAGUUUUGCUUGAAUUAAAGUAAUUUGUGCUCAAAACAUGUGCAUAAUUGUAGGUUUUUAGAAGUUUAUAAUUCAUGAAGGGAUGCUGAGAUAUUAGACUAGCAAGAGGAGGAAAGAAUAUGGCCACAAAAGAAGUGCAGCACAACCGGGAACAAUACAUUGUCAUAGUCGUUGCUAGAGCAACCAUUGCUGUAGCAAUCCGGGAGCACUGAGGGAGAAAACUUAGCGCGGGUCAGCUGCAGAAUUGCGAUCUACAAUUUCCUAAUUUAACUCAUGCACGCCCGAGGCUUUUGUUUACCCUACUUUUUAGUUAUAAAAAGAGGCGCACACUACAUAAAACGGCGGUAAAGAAGUAUCAUUGGAGAAAUUAGAGAGAAAAAAAGAAGAAUAUCAGAAUUCAAGGGAACGGCUGCAGCAGCAUUGAAAAAAUCCCGCAGAGUUAUUUAGAUUCACUUUUUGUCGUUCUCAACAUAUACUUUUCUUCUUUCUUUGACUGAUCUAAUGUAUCUCGUGAACAAUAUGUUGAUGUUUGUUUUUCUCUUUCAAAAUAUGAACUAAAUUUGCUUGUAGUUGAGUGACAAAUAAUCUAAUGGGUUCUUGACUGUUCUUAUGAGUUGCUAUGUUAUUACUGUAGCAUUUUACUCUAGUAGCUAUUAUUAUAAUUGUUAUUUCGGUUGACCACCCAUUUAAUAGUUCAAGUUAAGAUAGAGCCGCAAAAGGGCAUGUCUUAGUGGAUAUUAUUAGAGUAAUACUUAAUCUUAAUUUAAGUUUCCUGGAUUAAGUUUAUCUUGAAUCCCAUAAGAGCUAUACUUGAAGUUAAGAUUUGUGACAAACUAGGCAUAUGUACUCACCUUGUAGGGUGAAGAGAAUAAAGGUUCACAAUGCCAUGCCGUAGGUAGAAUAACAAUUGGUCAUUGCUAAUAUACUUAAGGGUAUGAGAGUUUCAACACGCGACAACUGAGGAUGCAAAAUAAUUCUGCCCAGUGCUGUAGCAAUUAUUGUAACAACUGGUGUUAACUUGAUGAAAAGCAGUCAGCCCAUAAAGAGAGUUUGAUCAUUCAACUACCUUAUUCUCAUUUGAUUCUUCGACGCAUUUUAUUUAAUUUAUUUCAUUACUGCAUUGUUUUAUUUUAUUCUCUCACAAUUAUCAAUUUCAAUAGAACCAAAUUUACAUUUGCUAAUUUCAGAAUUAAGGUAGAUUGCACUAUUGUGAUUGUUGUAGCAUUUCUAGUAACAUCAAUCCCUGUGGAGACGAUCUUAAAUAUUCAUCACUUUAUUACUUGUUGUGUACACUUGCACAUUGACAUCAAUAACAUUUAAUUAUAAUAAUAACCAACAACAACCAUUAUAUAUUUUAAAAAUAAAAAUCAAUUUAUACAUUCAUCUUGUUGGCAUUCAGGAAACAAUUGUUAAAAAUCAUGCAACUAACAAGUUUAUAUCGGGUAAAUAGGAAAAUACUCUAAUUAACCAAUUCUAUAGAUCUCUAAACCAUGAGUAAAUUAAGGAAGAAUGAAUAUAAAAUGUAAAAAGGCCAUUACUGUUUUUGAUCAGCUGCCUGCAGAGAAUUAUAAAUUUUUAGUAAAUUACAUGUAGGUAAUUGAUUGAUUAACAAAUGCACCCAAGAAAAUCAAAUUACACUAAGCAAUUUAUCAUCAAACUAGAAUUAAAACCCUAGAAAUUUACCUUUCUCUUAAGAAUCUGAGUAGCCAAGAACUCGACUUUGAAAUUGGCUAGCAACGACUGGAGAUCGGAGGAGAGGAUAGAGGUUGUGACCUCCCAAGCAGAGUUAGUUUGUCGAAACUGAAUGAGCCACUAAUUUGCUGCCACCCGGUUACAUGAUCCAGUCUUGUCAUGCAAGAAGUGAACGGCUUGCGCCAAUUUGAUUUGCAAGUCCAUUUGCAUCAAGUGAAGCCUAGUUUGUAGAAAAUUCAGUGGUGGAUUUCGAGUAAGAUGGUCGUUAGAAGAGAUGCAGCUUCGGCUUCUCUUGGUGGUGGACUUUCAGUAGGAUGCUGGUUGGAGGAGACGCAACUUUAGCUUCUCUUCGUCAUUGUUUUCUUAUCUUAAGAGGUGAGGGAUUCAAUUCGUUUAAUCAAUUGCAACCGGCCGCAACAGUCAAUCAUCUGGGUUGACUUUUUCAAUCACCCCGUCUAUAACCGUUUCUACUAGUUAUGCUUUGUUUUUUUUUUUUGUCCAUGUGGCAGAUUGUUAUUGGUUAGUUAGUCAAAUCGCAGGCGGUAAAGCUACAACAACUGUAACUUAAGGGGAUCCUUAUGUAGAUUGUCUCAACAAAUCUAGUUGGAUCUAUUCUCUGCACUCGUGAAGCUAUGCGUGUGAUGAGAGACCAACCAAAUGGAGGCCACAUAUUUAACAUGGACUGUGCUGGCUCUGAAGGAUCUAGUACCCCUCUUACUGCUGUGUAAGUCCCCUUCAUUUUUAUUAAUUGAGAGUUUAAUACUAGUGUCAGUGGAAGCUGAAUGUUUCAGAAUGAAAUUUUAACAAUUGAUGUUCAAUACUCCAUUAAUUCUUGAUCAUUUGGAGUUUCUGAGAGUUGCUUGCUUUGUUGUACUACUUCAAACUUGUAGCUAUGGGUCUACAAAAUGUAGUCUCAGGCAGCUGAAGAAACUUGUUUUUUAUUUCUCAAAAUAAAACAUUAUACAUUGAGCGUUAUUUAUAGAUGUAGAGGCUACAUCUUUUUCAAAGAUUACAUACGUGAUUACAAAAGGAAACGUGUCAAUCCGUUCAGUGCGGAUCGUGUCUUUGGCAAGUGCGGAUCAUGCCUUUGAAAACUUCCUUCAAUGCCGUUUUAUUUGACAUUCUCAACACUCCCCCUCAAACUGGUGCAUAGAUGUCUUGCAUGCCUAGCUUGUCUAGGAAUUUUGUAAAUGCUCUACUUGAAAUGGCCUUCGUUAAAAUAUCUGCAAGUUAAUAUUCUGAAUGAAUUUUCGGCAGUUUUAAGAUUUUUUCAUCUAAUUUCUCCUUAAUUAAAAAUCUAUCUACCUCGACGUGUUUUGUUCGAUCGUGUUAAACUGAGUUAUGAGCAAUAUCUCGUGUAGUUUUAUUGUCACAGUAUAGUUGUAUUGGUUGUUGUGAUAGAUAACCCAAGUCUUUUAAGAUAAAGCUUAUCCAUAGCCCUUCACAUACNNNNNNNNNNNNNNNNNNNNNNNNNNNNNNNNNNNNNNNNNNNNNNNNNNNNNNNNNNNNNNNNNNNNNNNNNNNNNNNNNNNNNNNNNNNNNNNNNNNNNNNNNNNNNNNNNNNNNNNNNNNNNNNNNNNNNNNNNNNNNNNNNNNNNNNNNNNNNNNNNNNNNNNNNNNNNNNNNNNNNNNNNNNNNNNNNNNNNNNNNNNNNNNNNNNNNNNNNNNNNNNNNNNNNNNNNNNNNNNNNNNNNNNNNNNNNNNNNNNNNNNNNNNNNNNNNNNNNNNNNNNNNNNNNNNNNNNNNNNNNNNNNNNNNNNNNNNNNNNNNNNNNNNNNNNNNNNNNNNNNNNNNNNNNNNNNNNNNNNNNNNNNNNNNNNNNNNNNNNNNNNNNNNNNNNNNNNNNNNNNNNNNNNNNNNNNNNNNNNNNNNNNNNNNNNNNNNNNNNNNNNNNNNNNNNNNNNNNNNNNNNNNNNNNNNNNNNNNNNNNNNNNNNNNNNNNNNNNNNNNNNNNNNNNNNNNNNNNNNNNNNNNNNNNNNNNNNNNNNNNNNNNNNNNNNNNNNNNNNNNNNNNNNNNNNNNNNNNNNNNNNNNNNNNNNNNNNNNNNNNNNNNNNNNNNNNNNNNNNNNNNNNNNNNNNNNNNNNNNNNNNNNNNNNNNNNNNNNNNNNNNNNNNNNNNNNNNNNNNNNNNNNNNNNNNNNNNNNNNNNNNNNNNNNNNNNNNNNNNNNNNNNNNNNNNNNNNNNNNNNNNNNNNNNNNNNNNNNNNNNNNNNNNNNNNNNNNNNNNNNNNNNNNNNNNNNNNNNNNNNNNNNNNNNNNNNNNNNNNNNNNNNNNNNNNNNNNNNNNNNNNNNNNNNNNNNNNNNNNNNNNNNNNNNNNNNNNNNNNNNNNNNNNNNNNNNNNNNNNNNNNNNNNNNNNNNNNNNNNNNNNNNNNNNNNNNNNNNNNNNNNNNNNNNNNNNNNNNNNNNNNNNNNNNNNNNNNNNNNNNNNNNNNNNNNNNNNNNNNNNNNNNNNNNNNNNNNNNNNNNNNNNNNNNNNNNNNNNNNNNNNNNNNNNNNNNNNNNNNNNNNNNNNNNNNNNNNNNNNNNNNNNNNNNNNNNNNNNNNNNNNNNNNNNNNNNNNNNNNNNNNNNNNNNNNNNNNNNNNNNNNNNNNNNNNNNNNNNNNNNNNNNNNNNNNNNNNNNNNNNNNNNNNNNNNNNNNNNNNNNNNNNNNNGAUCUUAAAUAUUCAUCACUUUAUUACUUGUUGUGUACACUUGCACAUUGACAUCAAUAACAUUUAAUUAUAAUAAUAACCAACAACAACCAUUAUAUAUUUUAAAAAUAAAAAUCAAUUUAUACAUUCAUCUUGUUGGCAUUCAGGAAACAAUUGUUAAAAAUCAUGCAACUAACAAGUUUAUAUCGGGUAAAUAGGAAAAUACUCUAAUUAACCAAUUCUAUAGAUCUCUAAACCAUGAGUAAAUUAAGGAAGAAUGAAUAUAAAAUGUAAAAAGGCCAUUACUGUUUUUGAUCAGCUGCCUGCAGAGAAUUAUAAAUUUUUAGUAAAUUACAUGUAGGUAAUUGAUUGAUUAACAAAUGCACCCAAGAAAAUCAAAUUACACUAAGCAAUUUAUCAUCAAACUAGAAUUAAAACCCUAGAAAUUUACCUUUCUCUUAAGAAUCUGAGUAGCCAAGAACUCGACUUUGAAAUUGGCUAGCAACGACUGGAGAUCGGAGGAGAGGAUAGAGGUUGUGACCUCCCAAGCAGAGUUAGUUUGUCGAAACUGAAUGAGCCACUAAUUUGCUGCCACCCGGUUACAUGAUCCAGUCUUGUCAUGCAAGAAGUGAACGGCUUGCGCCAAUUUGAUUUGCAAGUCCAUUUGCAUCAAGUGAAGCCUAGUUUGUAGAAAAUUCAGUGGUGGAUUUCGAGUAAGAUGGUCGUUAGAAGAGAUGCAGCUUCGGCUUCUCUUGGUGGUGGACUUUCAGUAGGAUGCUGGUUGGAGGAGACGCAACUUUAGCUUCUCUUCGUCAUUGUUUUCUUAUCUUAAGAGGUGAGGGAUUCAAUUCGUUUAAUCAAUUGCAACCGGCCGCAACAGUCAAUCAUCUGGGUUGACUUUUUCAAUCACCCCGUCUAUAACCGUUUCUACUAGUUAUGCUUUGUUUUUUUUUUUUUGUCCAUGUGGCAGAUUGUUAUUGGUUAGUUAGUCAAAUCGCAGGCGGUAAAGCUACAACAACUGUAACUUAAGGGGAUCCUUAUGUAGAUUGUCUCAACAAAUCUAGUUGGAUCUAUUCUCUGCACUCGUGAAGCUAUGCGUGUGAUGAGAGACCAACCAAAUGGAGGCCACAUAUUUAACAUGGACUGUGCUGGCUCUGAAGGAUCUAGUACCCCUCUUACUGCUGUGUAAGUCCCCUUCAUUUUUAUUAAUUGAGAGUUUAAUACUAGUGUCAGUGGAAGCUGAAUGUUUCAGAAUGAAAUUUUAACAAUUGAUGUUCAAUACUCCAUUAAUUCUUGAUCAUUUGGAGUUUCUGAGAGUUGCUUGCUUUGUUGUACUACUUCAAACUUGUAGCUAUGGGUCUACAAAAUGUAGUCUCAGGCAGCUGAAGAAACUUGUUUUUUAUUUCUCAAAAUAAAACAUUAUACAUUGAGCGUUAUUUAUAGAUGUAGAGGCUACAUCUUUUUCAAAGAUUACAUACGUGAUUACAAAAGGAAACGUGUCAAUCCGUUCAGUGCGGAUCGUGUCUUUGGCAAGUGCGGAUCAUGCCUUUGAAAACUUCCUUCAAUGCCGUUUUAUUUGACAUUCUCAACACUCCCCCUCAAACUGGUGCAUAGAUGUCUUGCAUGCCUAGCUUGUCUAGGAAUUUUGUAAAUGCUCUACUUGAAAUGGCCUUCGUUAAAAUAUCUGCAAGUUAAUAUUCUGAAUGAAUUUUCGGCAGUUUUAAGAUUUUUUCAUCUAAUUUCUCCUUAAUUAAAAAUCUAUCUACCUCGACGUGUUUUGUUCGAUCGUGUUAAACUGAGUUAUGAGCAAUAUCUCGUGUAGUUUUAUUGUCACAGUAUAGUUGUAUUGGUUGUUGUGAUAGAUAACCCAAGUCUUUUAAGAUAAAGCUUAUCCAUAGCCCUUCACAUACUCCAAGGGCCAUGCCUUGAUAUUCUACUUCAGCGCUCGAACGGGCAACGACAUGUUGUUUUUUGAUUCUCCAUGUGACAAGGUUGCCUCCUACAAAUGUAAAGUAGCCUGAAGUAGAGUGUCUAUCACUAGCUGACCCGGCCCAAUCUGCAUCAGUAUAAACUUUUAUGUUGUUGUAAUUUUCAUUUUUGGAAAAUAGGAUUCUUUUUCCUGGAUUUAACUUCAGGUACCUCAGGAUCCGCAUUACUGCUUCCAUAUGUUGUUCUCCGGGAUUAUGCAUAAACUGACUUACAACACUCAAUGCAUAAGCAAGAUCUGGCCUUGUGUGGGACAAGUACAUCAAUCUUCCAAUCAGUCUUUGAUAUAUUCCUUUGUCUACUGGAACUUAGUUUGGGGUAAUACAGAACAUUAGUCCUUCUUCUAUUGGGGUGUCAAUAGGCUAACAAGCUGUCAUUCUUGUUUUAUGCAAUAGAUCUAAGGCAUAUUUCCUUUGAGACAGGAAGAUUCCUUCCAAGAAAGUAUUUUAAGGCUCCUAAAUCCUUCAUCUCAAACUCUCUCGACAAAUACUUCUGAAGAGCUUUUCUUUCUUCUUUGUUGUUACCUGUAACUACCAUGUCAUCCACAUAGAUGAUAAGGGCAGUGAUUUUACCUUGCCCUUUUUUUUAUAAACAAGGUAUGAUCUGAAUUGCUUUGGUUAUAGCAAAAAACACUCAUAAUCUUUGUGAAUUUCCUGAACCAUGCUCUUGGGGAUUGCUCCAACCCGUAUAAUGAUUUCUUCAAUUUGCAUACUUCCUGAUGGAGUCGUUUUGGUCCACUGCAUCCUGUUGGUAGAUCCAUAUAAAUUUCUUCAGACAGAUCUCCAUGAAGGAAAGCAUUCUUUACAUCGAAUUGUUGCACUGGCCAAUCCAAGUUUGCUGCUAAUGAUAAUAAGAUACGAAUAAUAUUAAUUUUUGCUACCGAUACAAAUGUAUCAGUAUAAUUUAUCUCGUAGGUUUGGGUGUAACCCUUAGCUAUGAGCCUUGCUUUGUAUCGUUCAAUGGAACCAUAUGCCUUGUACUUUAUAGUGUAGAUCCAUCGGCAACUUUCCGGUGGAAGAUCAACUAGUUCCCAUGUUUGAUUUUUCUGAAGAUAUCUCAUUUCGUCAUGCAUAGCUGCUUUCCACUUUAGGUCUUUUAAGGUUUCUUGCAUACUGUUAGAGAUAGAUACAGUAGAUAAUUGAUUCAUAAAUGACUGAUUUAAUUCUAACAAGCGAUGGUUAGACACAAAAUGACUCAUAAGGUAUUUGACUCUACUAGAGAGGUCAUGCUCAUAUGUGGGUUUAGAGAUACCUCUAUAUUGACGCUGAUGAAGUAUUCUUCUGAUUAGACUAGGACUUGUGGUAGGAACAUCCUCUGUAAACGAUUGGUUAAGUAUUUCUUCAUGUGGUUCUUCAUAAGACUCGUUCUCGAUUAUGGUUGUGUAUGAGUUAUUUUGCUUCCCAAAUGUGUCUUACUUAUUUCAGCCCGAGAAUCAUCACCAUUUUCUUUUCUAGUAUCUUGAAGGUUUACUACCUCAAUGGAGGAUUGAUCUUAUUUAGGUGGAAGAUAUGUAAAAGUAUGAAUUUCCUCUUCAUUAUACUCCCAUUGAAAUUUAGGCUCCGAUAGGUAGUACAUGAUAUCUUCAUGAAAGACGACAUCCAUGGUAAUGUAUAUUUUUCUUGACGGAGGAUGAUGGCAUCGGUACCCAUUUUGAUGUAAGACAUGCCCUACAAACACACAACGUACUGCUCGAGGACAUAAUUUGUCUUGUUGCGGCAAAUGAACGAAGGCAACACAACCAAACACUUGUGGGGGUAAAUUCGACACAUUUGGUGACAUAAUUGCUUCAUUUAGAACCUGGAAAUGAGUCUGGAAUCUAAUGGAGCUUGAAGGUGUUCGAUUGAUCAAGUAUGUUAUGGAUGCCAGUGCUUCUCCCUAAUAAUAUAGUGGCAUGUGGGCCUGGAUUAGUGAUGCUCGAACAAAUUUUAUUAAAUGUUUGUUUUUUCGUUCAGCAACACCAUUUUGUUGGAGUGUGCCCACACAAGUAGUUUGGUGGACAAUUCCUUGUGAUUUCAGAAACUGUUGAAUUGUUGUGCUCAUAUACUCGCCUUCAUUAUCAGUAUGUAGUGAAAUGCAAGUUAUGCAACCCAAGAGGGGGGGUGAAUUGAGAUUUUAAAAAUUAUGCAAUACAAUUCGCACAACAAAUCAAUCUAACGCCUUAAUAAAAUAGAAAACAAUAAAUUCAAAUAAGCGUAAAAAUAAAAGAGUAAGGGAAGAGAAAAACAAACACACAGAUUUUUACGUGGUUCGGCAAUCCAUGCCUACGUCCACGCCUCCAAACCAACCAAGCUCGAGGAUUUCACUAUCCGAGCCUCCCAAGGCUUCAAGUUCUUACAAUUGACUUACAAGGUGUCAAUGAAUCUUUACAAUCAAGAGAUUAUCUCCCCAAUCUUGAAGAUAUGUAAAAGUAUGAAUUUCCUCUUCAUUAUACUCCCAUUGAAAUUUAGGCUCCGAUAGGUAGUACAUGAUAUCUUCAUGAAAGACGACAUCCAUGGUAAUGUAUAUUUUUCUUGACGGAGGAUGAUGGCAUCGGUACCCAUUUUGAUGUAAGACAUGCCCUACAAACACACAACGUACUGCUCGAGGACAUAAUUUGUCUUGUUGCGGCAAAUGAACGAAGGCAACACAACCAAACACUUGUGGGGGUAAAUUCGACACAUUUGGUGACAUAAUUGCUUCAUUUAGAACCUGGAAAUGAGUCUGGAAUCUAAUGGAGCUUGAAGGUGUUCGAUUGAUCAAGUAUGUUAUGGAUGCCAGUGCUUCUCCCUAAUAAUAUAGUGGCAUGUGGGCCUGGAUUAGUGAUGCUCGAACAAAUUUUAUUAAAUGUUUGUUUUUUCGUUCAGCAACACCAUUUUGUUGGAGUGUGCCCACACAAGUAGUUUGGUGGACAAUUCCUUGUGAUUUCAGAAACUGUUGAAUUGUUGUGCUCAUAUACUCGCCUUCAUUAUCAGUAUGUAGUGAAAUGCAAGUUAUGCAACCCAAGAGGGGGGGUGAAUUGAGAUUUUAAAAAUUAUGCAAUACAAUUCGCACAACAAAUCAAUCUAACGCCUUAAUAAAAUAGAAAACAAUAAAUUCAAAUAAGCGUAAAAAUAAAAGAGUAAGGGAAGAGAAAAACAAACACACAGAUUUUUACGUGGUUCGGCAAUCCAUGCCUACGUCCACGCCUCCAAACCAACCAAGCUCGAGGAUUUCACUAUCCGAGCCUCCCAAGGCUUCAAGUUCUUACAAUUGACUUACAAGGUGUCAAUGAAUCUUUACAAUCAAGAGCUGCUGUACGGCCAAGGCGGAUGUACGGUACAGCAGAUUAUGCAUAAACUGACUUACAACACUCAAUGCAUAAGCAAGAUCUGGCCUUGUGUGGGACAAGUACAUCAAUCUUCCAAUCAGUCUUUGAUAUAUUCCUUUGUCUACUGGAACUUAGUUUGGGGUAAUACAGAACAUUAGUCCUUCUUCUAUUGGGGUGUCAAUAGGCUAACAAGCUGUCAUUCUUGUUUUAUGCAAUAGAUCUAAGGCAUAUUUCCUUUGAGACAGGAAGAUUCCUUCCAAGAAAGUAUUUUAAGGCUCCUAAAUCCUUCAUCUCAAACUCUCUCGACAAAUACUUCUGAAGAGCUUUUCUUUCUUCUUUGUUGUUACCUGUAACUACCAUGUCAUCCACAUAGAUGAUAAGGGCAGUGAUUUUACCUUGCCCUUUUUUUUAUAAACAAGGUAUGAUCUGAAUUGCUUUGGUUAUAGCAAAAAACACUCAUAAUCUUUGUGAAUUUCCUGAACCAUGCUCUUGGGGAUUGCUCCAACCCGUAUAAUGAUUUCUUCAAUUUGCAUACUUCCUGAUGGAGUCGUUUUGGUCCACUGCAUCCUGUUGGUAGAUCCAUAUAAAUUUCUUCAGACAGAUCUCCAUGAAGGAAAGCAUUCUUUACAUCGAAUUGUUGCACUGGCCAAUCCAAGUUUGCUGCUAAUGAUAAUAAGAUACGAAUAAUAUUAAUUUUUGCUACCGAUACAAAUGUAUCAGUAUAAUUUAUCUCGUAGGUUUGGGUGUAACCCUUAGCUAUGAGCCUUGCUUUGUAUCGUUCAAUGGAACCAUAUGCCUUGUACUUUAUAGUGUAGAUCCAUCGGCAACUUUCCGGUGGAAGAUCAACUAGUUCCCAUGUUUGAUUUUUCUGAAGAUAUCUCAUUUCGUCAUGCAUAGCUGCUUUCCACUUUAGGUCUUUUAAGGUUUCUUGCAUACUGUUAGAGAUAGAUACAGUAGAUAAUUGAUUCAUAAAUGACUGAUUUAAUUCUAACAAGCGAUGGUUAGACACAAAAUGACUCAUAAGGUAUUUGACUCUACUAGAGAGGUCAUGCUCAUAUGUGGGUUUAGAGAUACCUCUAUAUUGACGCUGAUGAAGUAUUCUUCUGAUUAGACUAGGACUUGUGGUAGGAACAUCCUCUGUAAACGAUUGGUUAAGUAUUUCUUCAUGUGGUUCUUCAUAAGACUCGUUCUCGAUUAUGGUUGUGUAUGAGUUAUUUUGCUUCCCAAAUGUGUCUUACUUAUUUCAGCCCGAGAAUCAUCACCAUUUUCUUUUCUAGUAUCUUGAAGGUUUACUACCUCAAUGGAGGAUUGAUCUUAUUUAGGUGGAAGAUAUGUAAAAGUAUGAAUUUCCUCUUCAUUAUACUCCCAUUGAAAUUUAGGCUCCGAUAGGUAGUACAUGAUAUCUUCAUGAAAGACGACAUCCAUGGUAAUGUAUAUUUUUCUUGACGGAGGAUGAUGGCAUCGGUACCCAUUUUGAUGUAAGACAUGCCCUACAAACACACAACGUACUGCUCGAGGACAUAAUUUGUCUUGUUGCGGCAAAUGAACGAAGGCAACACAACCAAACACUUGUGGGGGUAAAUUCGACACAUUUGGUGACAUAAUUGCUUCAUUUAGAACCUGGAAAUGAGUCUGGAAUCUAAUGGAGCUUGAAGGUGUUCGAUUGAUCAAGUAUGUUAUGGAUGCCAGUGCUUCUCCCUAAUAAUAUAGUGGCAUGUGGGCCUGGAUUAGUGAUGCUCGAACAAAUUUUAUUAAAUGUUUGUUUUUUCGUUCAGCAACACCAUUUUGUUGGAGUGUGCCCACACAAGUAGUUUGGUGGACAAUUCCUUGUGAUUUCAGAAACUGUUGAAUUGUUGUGCUCAUAUACUCGCCUUCAUUAUCAGUAUGUAGUGAAAUGCAAGUUAUGCAACCCAAGAGGGGGGGUGAAUUGAGAUUUUAAAAAUUAUGCAAUACAAUUCGCACAACAAAUCAAUCUAACGCCUUAAUAAAAUAGAAAACAAUAAAUUCAAAUAAGCGUAAAAAUAAAAGAGUAAGGGAAGAGAAAAACAAACACACAGAUUUUUACGUGGUUCGGCAAUCCAUGCCUACGUCCACGCCUCCAAACCAACCAAGCUCGAGGAUUUCACUAUCCGAGCCUCCCAAGGCUUCAAGUUCUUACAAUUGACUUACAAGGUGUCAAUGAAUCUUUACAAUCAAGAGAUUAUCUCCCCAAUCUUUUUACCCCAAGUGUUUCUCACACUUAUACACUCACAAUUUGAUAAGAAAUGAAAAUUACAAUAAAAACUCUCUUUAAGAGUGGAUAUGCAAAUAAUAGCUCAACAAUGAUUCAAUCUAUGAUGAUUUGCGUUUUGGAAGCUCAAUAUAUGUUGUAUGAUCUUAUAUUUGCUUGCAUUAGUUCUUAGAAUGAAGUUUGAGUUGAGUUUUUAUAGUUAAAGCCCGAAAACUAGUCGUUAUAGGCAAGUUCCCGCGCCCAAGAGGGUAGCCGCUCAGGAACAGUGAUAUUACCAUUAUUUUUGAAUUUUGCUACAUUAACACUGUUUACUAAAAUUACACUUUGGCCCAAAAUUUUUAUAAUUAUACUAUAGCCCAAAACGUCACAAAACUUUACAAAUAAAUCCAAUUUCAGAAUUUCUUAAAAAUAGUUAUCUUUCCAAAAAUUUUUGAAAUUAUGAUAUGGCCCCAAAGAUAUUAUUAUUUUUCAAAGAGAUCCUUUUCAAAUUUAGCAUAAUACCUAUAUUUUUCAAAGUUCUCAAAACCUUUCACUUUAAUCCAAAAAUUGAAAAUAUGAGAUUUUCCUCAAGCGGCCAGCUGCUAGCCUCAGGCGGUUAGCAGCUUCCCCUCUGUCCAAUUUUGGAUUUCAAGUGUUUAGCUUACAUUCGGGUCCUCAAAAUUUCAUAAAUUAUAAUAUGGCCCAAAACGCUUCAAAUCUUUACAAAUAAGUCCAACUUUGAAUUUCAAAAUAAUACUUAUUAAAAUCAAAGAUUUCAAAACUUAGCAUUUAAGUCUAAAUUACUCAAAUCCACAAAAUACUUUUCUUUAUAAAAAUUAAACCUUUUAGUUUAUGAAAAGUAUUUAAUUAAAUUAAUCUCUUGAACUUCUCAAAUGCUAAAUCAUGCAUCAAUUAAAUCAUACCGGCUUUACAAGAAUUUAUCGCACUAAUUUGUUCGUUGAGCUCUAAACUAUAUUCUUGAUGUCGCCGUUAUUCGUUGAGUGUCUUCAAUCUUGAUUUCACUUGAUUUAUUUGCAUAAAUAUUAUCCUUAAAAAACUAGUGACAAAUGUGAAAUACAAUAUUUAUUAUUUUUAACUAAGACACAUGUUUGUUAUCAUCAAAAUUACAUUAUGUGUAGCCUUUUAGGCUAACAUGUAGAACUCGAAUUUGUGUCUGAAAUUGAGUCGUCACCAUCUUAUGAAAUCUUUGAAAUAAAAAGUUUACUGCGUCUUUUGAUUUCAUCAAAAAAAUCCAUGUCAUUCUGCUACAAUCAUCAAUAAAUGUAAUAAACCAAUGAGCUCCUCCAAUUGUAGAAACUUUAGAUGGUCCCCACACAUUAAAAUGUACUAUCAUGAAAGGAACUGAAUUCUUAUUUAAGGACAAUGAAAAAGUAGUUCAAUGGCUUUUUAAAAGUUCAUAAACAUCACAUUUAAAGUUACAAACAUCAAAUUUCAUAAACAAAUUAGGAAAUAAUUUUUUAAAGUAACCAAAUGACAAAUGCCCUAAACGUCUAUGCCAUAACCAAAUUUCUAAUUUCCUUUUUUUCAUGGAACUAUCUGCUACUAAUGCGGGGCUUAACUUUUCAGUGUUUGUUGAUGUCAUCUCCAGGUAAUACAAGUUGCCUCGUCUAAUACCAUAACCAAUCGUUUGCUUUGUUUGGAUGUCCUUAAACACGCAAUGAUCAGGGCAAAAAAUUACAACACAUGAUAAGUAAGUGGUUAUUUGAGACACAGAUAAAAGAUUAUAAUCUAAAGAUGGAACAAUUAACACAAAGUCUAAAUUUUAUUUAUCUGUGAGUCUUAAAGAUCUUUCCCUAAUAACUGAGGUUGUGGUUCUAUUUGCAGUGGAAACAUAUUUUUGUGAAGAUGGUUUCAAUUGAGAAACUUAUUAAGAAUCAAAAGUCAUAUGAUCACUUGCACCAGAAUUAAUUAUCCAUGUACUAUUAAUAACAGGUGUAAGAGUUUUAAGGGCUUUACCUGGACUGACAGAGGUUGCAAUUUGCGCUGAAGAUUCUUUUCUAAGAUCUGUAGUGGAUGUGGAUUCAGCUACUGCAGUUUUUAAUCCCUACUUGGUGUUCUUCUUUUGAGUAUCCCAUCAGUCAGGAUAUCCAAUGAUUUAAAAGCAUUGUUCGUUCGUAUGACCCUUCUUCCUACAAUGAGUGCAAUAGAGUGAUGAUUUGUUAACAAGUUUCCUUUGAGGCUGCUGUCGUACUAUCAUAGUAGACGUUUCUGAUUUGACCUUCUUGUUUAUUUUGCUUUGUCAUAUAUCUUCUUUUCGGAUAAGAGAAUAACAUUCUUUUAAGUCUGGGAUAAUAUAUUUUCGUAGAAUUUCUCCACAAACUUGGUCAAAUUCUUCAUCUAGCCUAGCAAGAAAAAUGUGCACUCUCAAUCUUUCAACAGACUUUUUGUAUAUUACAACAUCUUCUGAAUUUUUCAUGACCACUUUAUCUCGGUGAUCAAGUUCUCAAAAUACUUUGAUCAAUUCUCAGUAAAAUUUAGAGAGUGAUUGUUCAUUUUGUUUGGUAGAGAACGCUUUCUAGUUUAGAGUGAAAACUUGAUAUUCGUCGCUUCCAUCAUGGAAGGCUUUUGAUAAUGCAUUCCAGAUUUCGUAGGCUGUAGGAAUUCGUAAAUAUCGCUUCAUGAUCUCAGGAGACAUGGAUAUGAGUAACCAUCUUUUUUAUUUUUGAUUCUCACUAUUCAAUUUCUCAUAUUCCUUUGAAGACUCGUCAGAUGGUUUUGUGCUGCUACAAAUAUAUGAGAGUUUUUCUCUUUCUGCGAGAUGCAUCUCCAUUAUUUGAGACCAACCAUCGUAGUUUAUCUCAGUAAAGAUAAUUCCGGCAUUAAAUACCUCAUCAGAUUGAACAGAUUGAAUGACAACAGGAGUAGAUUUAGUUGAAAUUUUCUCCAUUUUUUUUGGUGUAUAGUUUCAAACAAGGGAAAUAUAAUUUUUUUGAGAAAAAACGACAAGUCAUUUUGUUUCUACUUAGUAAAACGAUAUGUCUGUUUUGAUGGAAUAAAAAUGACAGGUCAUUUUUAAAGGCUGCUGCACUUCUAAGAAUAAAAUGUCACGUCAUUUUGUUUCUGCUUAACAAACCGACAUGUUGGUUACUGUGGAAUAAAAAUGACAAGUCAUUUUUCAAUAUGCUGCACUUCUGUAGAUGACAACGACAUGUCGUUUUGAAUCAUCUUCAACCUCUGGAGCGCGUGCGGGCGCGUGAGGGUUAGCCGUGAAUUCGGGAAGUGCCUGGAGGCGCGUGCGACUGUGUUGAGAUGCGAAAUUUUUACAAUUUGCUUACUGGAAACUGAGAAAUUUGAUGAAAUUCUCGGUUUUUUAAAGACAUUAUCUUGGAAAAUAUAUGAGACUGUUGAUGGAUUUAUAAACUCAAGUUUUUACGUAUAGGUGGCUUGUUUUUUUAUUGGCAUGGGUUUCUGUAAUGCUAGGAAUGAUUUUAAGGAAGAAAAAUGGUGGAAAAUGGUUGUGGGAAAGAGUUGGUUUCCUCUGUUUUUGUUACAAACAGAGCAGCGUACCUCGUUCUAAUACCAUAAAGAAAUUUGUUUUUCAUUUCUCAAAAUAAAACAUUAUACAUUGAGCGGUAUUUUCAUUUCUCGCCUCCGCCCCCCACCACUCCCUCGGCUCCCGGAUGUACGGUACAGCAGGGAUCGCCGCCGCCUCCGACGGGUGACGACGGUGGUGGUGGGGUGAGUACUGGGUUAGUGGUGGGGUUAGCGAUUGGUGUGCUGGCGGUAAUUGUAGUGGUGAGCCUGUUGUUUUUGUGUUGCGCAAGAAGAGGAGGAGGAAAGAUGACGAGGCCGGUUACUAUAUACCCCCACCUCCUCUUGCCCCAAAAGGUUUUUGCUUUUAACUUUUUUUUCUUUUCUUUAAAUUAGUAUUUUUAUUUAUUUCAAAUUGCUUCUGGUUUUGUUGAUUUUAAUCAUUUUGUGCGUUUCCGUGACCUGUUUUUGCAGUGUUG